This is a long non-coding RNA of Uranotaenia lowii, 688 nucleotides long. RefSeq lists it as uncharacterized. The transcript is spliced from 3 exons. The record is from RefSeq and is a predicted model, not a curated record. Lineage: Eukaryota; Metazoa; Arthropoda; Insecta; Diptera; Culicidae.
ACUAAAAAAUUACCAUCGUUUAGGCAAUUCUGAAUAAAAAGUUGUUGUUGUUGGAAUCGUAUUAAAAAGGGAUGCCAAAACCAUCCAAAACAAUUUGUAAAAGCUUUUCAAUGGUGGCGAAAGUUAAUCGCAGUAGAAGAGUGGUAGAAGUUAACGUUUCAUAUUGGCAUUUUAAGGUGAUCAUGAUUCGAUUGGCCUUUUGCUUAAUGUUGUUAUUUUGAGUUCCGGUUAAUUUACUUCGAAAAUCGGUAUAAGAAUCAGAGUUCUCUGUGUUAGGAGUUCGACGGACAGUGUUUGCAUAUCAACAUCGCAGCGGGGUUCCGGACAGCGGGUUCGCCAUACGAAGCGGAAGUUGAUUCAUCCGGAACUGUUUUUUCGAUCUUCGUACAAAUCAACCAGUUUGAUUCGGUGCUGACCGUAAUUGAAAAAUUGAAAAGAUACCGAUGAGGAAAUGCGCUUCUCCUAUAUUCCAAUACCGAUGAACAUCCAAGGACAGAUUUUUAUCCAGUUUACCGCCACGAGUCUAUCGGGCUUGAUGAUGGAUCCGGAAGCUGAUUGCAUGAGGAUUGGUUCCGACGGAACCGGAUGAACAAUGACAAUCCGUCAAUGAUUGCCCAAGUGUUUUGGGUUUUAUUAUAUUUUACAUAUUUAUUGUAAAUUUGUUAUUCUGUUAUUUAGAAAUAAAGAA